UACGUAGGUGGCAAGCGUUGUCCGGAUUUACUGGGCGUAAAGGAUGCGUAGGUGGAUAUGCAAGUCAGAUGUGAAAUACCCGGGCUUAACUCGGGUGCUGCAUUUGAAACUAUAUAUCUAGAGUGCAGGAGAGGUAAGUGGAAUUCCUAGUGUAGCGGUGAAAUGCGUAGAGAUUAGGAAGAACACCAGUGGCGAAGGCGACUUACUGGACGAUAACUGACGCUGAGGCGCGAAAGCGUGGGGAGCAAACAGG
This 253-nucleotide ribosomal RNA is filed under the name uncultured bacterium. Its description in RNAcentral is "partial 16S ribosomal RNA". It matches the Rfam family "Bacterial small subunit ribosomal RNA", at positions 524 to 776 of the family's 1533-position model. The record is from RNAcentral.